UUAACACCACACACAUGGAAGCUUUAAAGUAGAAUCAAACAAGACUUUCAAGCAUAGAGCCAAGGUCUAGUGCCAACGUGAUCACCUAGAUGGCUAAUAAUAGGAAUAGACUGAGAAAACCAUGCUGCAGUACAAUUAUGGAGAGACAGCCAACAAAAAUCAUGUCAGGACAAGCCGAAGAAAGGUUAAUGAUAGGCCAGGGUUGACAAAGUAUGAAUAUCAGACUGACGAGUAUUGCAAAGGAAUCAUGCUAGUAGACGAACAUAGCAGGUAGAUGACUAGCAUCAAUUAUCAGAAAUAUUAAGAGUGGAGGCCAAAUGUAGGUACUAACUAUCCAAGUGAAUACUUAUUGUAUUUUAGUAUAAAUAAUUGAUUUAUACUUUGUAUAAAGCACCCUUGGAUAAUCAAAUCAAUAUAUUUUAUCGUAUUUAGUAUAUCAUAGUUUCUACUUUAGGAGUAGGAGUUACUUAGCUUUCUAUUAUUCUAGCCUAGCACUAUAUCUCCACCAUAGCCCAGCACUAUACUCCUUAUCCUUAUCCACAUCUGCCUCCUUCAAACGAUGGUGUGACGAUGAAGAAAAUCGUUGAAGGUGAAGGCAUUUAGACCUAUGCUACUCUCUAUCCUCCCUUCAAUUAUCAUAAUCUUUCGGGCUGAUCCAACACUUAUGGCAUGCCCGCGCCUAUCUACCCUCAUCAUUUGACAUGUUACCACUCUCUUCCAACACAUCUAGAUGGGACUCCGCCCAUGGAUCUCGUCGUACAUUCGAUGGGAUGGAAAGAGAGCAAACAUCCA
This 792-nucleotide long non-coding RNA is filed under the name Phoenix dactylifera (date palm). RNAcentral's name for it is "long non-coding RNA (PDAC_LNC007620)". Lineage: Eukaryota; Viridiplantae; Streptophyta; Magnoliopsida; Arecales; Arecaceae. The record is from RNAcentral.